This 225-nucleotide long non-coding RNA is filed under the name Linum usitatissimum (flax). RNAcentral's name for it is "long non-coding RNA (LUSI_LNC000593)". The record is from RNAcentral. Lineage: Eukaryota; Viridiplantae; Streptophyta; Magnoliopsida; Malpighiales; Linaceae.
GGCCAAUUCAUUCAGAUUUUAGAACUGUUUGUUGGAGGUUAACCUUUUUUUUUGGGAUCUGGUAUAAAUUUGGUAAGGAAUUUUAUUUGUUAAAAUACAAUGGUGACAAACAGAGCUUUACUACAAAAUUUAAACCUGUCUCCUUAAACUAAAACCAAGGGAAAACAGGAUCUCUUUAUUUUGUCUUGCAUGUGAUAUAUACUUGAAUUCAACGUCCGUUGUUCA